Molecule: ribosomal RNA, 1880 nt
Filed under: bacterium
Lineage: Bacteria
Description: partial 23S ribosomal RNA
Rfam family: Bacterial large subunit ribosomal RNA
Source: RNAcentral
AACCCCUAUCAAACUCCGAAUACCAUUCAAUAGAGCGCAGCAGUGAGACGGCGGGGGAUAAGCUUCGUCGUCGAGAGGGAAACAGCCCAGAUCAGCAGCUAAGGUGCCUAAAUUGUGCUCAGUGGAAAGGAGGUGAGGUUUCAUAGACAGUGAGGAUGUUGGCUUAGAAGCAGCCACCAUUUAAAAAAUGCGUAAUAGCUUACUCAUCGAGAGACCUUGCGCCGAAAAUACUUGGCGAUAAGCACAAUACCGAAGCUCUGGGUGUCCUAGUUUACUAGGGCGCGGUAGAGGAGCAUUCUCUGUGCAGUGAAGGGUGAUGGCGACUGACCCUGGAGCGCAGAGAAGUGAGAAUGCAGACAUGAGUAACGAUAAGAGCGGUGAAAUCCCGCUCCGCCGUAAAUCCAAGGUUUCCCGGGCAACGUUUUUCGUCCCGGGGUUAGUCGGGACCUAACCCGAGGCCGAUGGGCGUAGGGGAUGGUAAGCAGGUUAAUAUUCCUGCACCCAGUAAGGAGGACGCAUAAUGAAAAGCUACUAGGUUAUUGAAUUCCGAGGCGAGGCUUAGGCCGGACCGUAUAGCUGGACAGAGUGCCAAGAAAAGCCCUUACAUUAAUGGCCCGUACCGUAAACCGACACAGGUGGAUGGGUAGAAUAUACCAAGGCGCAAGAGUGAAACCUGGUCAAGGAACUCGGCAAAAUAGCCCCGUAACUUCGGAAGAAGGGGUGCCCCCUCUGGGGGGCCGCAGUGAAAUGGCCCAACCGACUGUUUAGCAAAAACACAGCAUUGUGCUAAGGCGUAAGCCGACGUAUACGAUGUGACACGUGACCAAUGCCAAAAGAUUACGGUAAGAUGUUAGCACUUUAGUGCGAAGCUUCGAGCCCAAGUCCUGGUGAAUGUCGGCCGUAACUAUAACGGUCCUAAGGUAGCGAAAUUCCUUGUCGGGUAAGUUCCGACCUGCACGAAUCGUGCAACGAGUUGGGCGCUGUCUCGACCAGGUGCUCAGUGAAAUUGUAGUUCCGGUGAAGAUGCCGGACACCCGCAGAAGGACGGAAAGACCCUAUAGACCUUAACUGUAAGCUGUUAUUGGUUGUUCGAUCUUAAUGCUCAGCAUAAGUGGGAGACAUUGAAGGGUGCGUUUAGGCGCAUCUGGAGUCAUCAGUGAGAUACCACCCUUUAAUAUUGGAUAAUCUAACCCCGAGCCGUCAUCCGGCCGUGGGGACAAUGGCAGCCGGUCAGUUUUACUGGGGCGGUAUCCUCCUAAAGAGUAACGGAGGAGCGCGAAGGUGGGCUCAGCACAGUUGGCAACUGUGUGUUGAGUGUAAAGGCACAAGCCCGCCUAACUGUGAGACCUACAAGUCGAGCAGAUACGAAAGUAGGCCUUAGUGAUCCGGCGGUAGAAUGUGGAAUUGCCGUCGCUCAACGGAUAAAAGGUACCUUAGGGAUAACAGGCUUAUCACGCCCAAGAGUUCAUAUCGACGGCGUGGUUUGGCACCUCGAUGUCGGCUCGUCGCAUCCUGGGGCUGGAGAAGGUCCCAAGGGUCCGGCUGUUCGCCGGUUAAAGCGGCACGCGAGCUGGGUUCAGAACGUCGCGAGACAGUUCGGUCCUCUAUCCUCUGUGGGCGUAGGAAAAUUGAAGGGUUCAGACCUUAGUACGAGAGGACCGGGUUUGACGCACCUCUGGUGUUCCAGUUGUUCUGUCAAGGGCACUGCUGGGUAGCUAAGUGCGGAACGGAUAAGCGCUGAAAGCAUCUAAGCGCCAAGCCAUUCCUGAGAUAAAUUUUCCCUGAAGGAUCGUGGAAGACGACCACGUUGAUAGGCUGGGGGUAGAAGUGCAGCAAUGUAUGUAGCUCACCAGUACUAAUCAUCCGUUCGACUUAAUUCC